RNAcentral lists this ribosomal RNA (789 nucleotides) under Triticum aestivum (bread wheat). RNAcentral describes it as "partial small subunit ribosomal RNA". The record is from RNAcentral. Lineage: Eukaryota; Viridiplantae; Streptophyta; Magnoliopsida; Poales; Poaceae.
CACAGCUGAGCCUCGCCUCGCCUCUCCAGUCUCCACCGUCCGUCCAUGGCUUCUCGAGCCCUCGCCGCGCUGUCCAUCCAGCCGCGCCUCGGCGGGGGCGCGUCGGCGCUCGGACGGCCCGCCGUCCGCGUCCGCGCCAGGCCGCCGCGGCGGCGCCGGCCCAUGGUGGUGCGGGCGGGCGGGCCGCCGAGCACCAACGUGCUCAUCCUCGCCUUCGUGCUCCCGCUCUCGCUCUUCGUCGGCACCCUCGUCGCCGCCGCCCGCGUCGCCGACGACCUCGACGAGCGGUUCCUCCGGGAGAUGGAGAUCAACAAGGCGAUACUGGAGGAGAACGAGGCUUCCUCCGAGGAGGCGGCAGACGGCGGCGGAGAGUACGUCGUCAACGGAGACGAGGCCGCGUUGCCGGCGGCGGAGAAGGAGCAGGUCCUUGUCACAGCUACUGGCACUGGCACGCGCGCCAGGAACAGGCCGAAAAGGGAAGUGUAUUAGCUACUAGCUAGAUUUGCACGGAGGGAAAUGCUUUGCUACCUUUGAGAUGUGUCCGUCAAUCAGCUUGUAAAUCUUUUGCAAAUGUUUCAGUGUGAUUGAUAGCAUAUGCAAGUUAAUGCGCGAUCAAAUAUAUAUACCCCAGGCAACUGAAGAACGAAGUUGUGCAACGGUGAAAUUUGUGGCUUUUAAGACAGUACUCUAAAGAGGUACUGAGAUGCUAGGCAAAGCAAAUCAAAGCUUUAUGCCAUCAUACAUUUCAGACAACAACCAGGAAGAAGCAAAAUAAACAGACAUUUAUUC